This 52-nucleotide non-coding RNA is filed under the name unclassified sequences. The record is from Rfam.
CCCUGACAGUCGCAUGGUGCGACUGACUUAACCCAGACAGGAGAAAAUCAUG